GGUGGGUGGCCACCCCAAGGGAACCGAUAGCUCUUUGGUUUUUCCCGCUGUCUCUUGAGGGUCUCUUCCUGUGGGUUAUAAAAAGGGUGCAAGCCAACCAGGGAAGGGUAGAAGCAGAAGGGACAGAUGCCAAGAGCCAGCUGGCAGACGAUUCAGCUGUCAUGCUGGGAGGAAGGCCAAGCCAGAGACAUGGAGCCAGACCCUCUGGCCCAGCCCCUCCGGAGUCCCAACCUCCACGAACCCAGGACGCAGGAGCGGGGCUGCACAUACCCUCCUGAACCCGCCUGGAGCCAGCCCCACUGACCUGCUGCUGCCUCCUGAGCAGGCCCCUGUUUCCCGGCCUUUGCGUUUGCUUCUCCCUGUGCCCGAACCUCUCACCAUCUGCGUGACCCCUGCACAUCCUACGAAACCCAGCUCAAAAGGCCCCUUCUCUGCAAGUUAGGUGUCCUGGAAAUCGCAUGGGUCUGGAGCAAGGAGGCUCCAGUUCCAGUCCCAGCUCCACCUUGUAACUUGGCAAAUGACUUGUCUCAUGGCAGCCCAAGGGGAAGAUGGAAGCACCCCAACUUUACACAUAGGAGAUGCAGGGUGGGGGAGUUAAUACCAGUAACCUCUGAGUGCUCAUAGGCAAAGGUGGGACCCCUUAUCAGUGGGGCCACGCCCUUGUGUAGGUCCCAGCACUGGAGCCCCCCAGCCUUAGGGACUCGUGGCCCAGCUGAGGGGACACAGUGGGUGUCAGAGGCAGCCCAACGUCUCCUCCUGAGGAGGCCGGGAGCCUCCUGUGGUCCCCGAGUCCAGACAGGGAGACAGGUGAAUCACACCCUGUUUGUUUUACAAACUGGAUGACAGAGCCUGUCAGAUGACAUAAAAACCAAACAAAACCCCCAACCCCCAGCCCAGCACUUAGGAGGAGGGCCAGUUUGAACUCCAGGGCUCAGCACCCCCUACCCCUACAGGUGACCCGCCCCAGGGAACACGGCCUCCCUGUCCUUGUCCCUGGGGGAUUGCGGGGCUGGCGGAGACUCUGGAGGAGCCGGAACCACCCCUGGGGCCCUGAUGCCUCCUCCCCUCCGCUCACGGUUCCGUGGGGACUAGGAGGUGAGAGCUGAGGGCAGUGAGGAGUAGUUCCAGCUGGUGAUUAAAUAGGCAUUCUGCCUUGGGGCAGUGCGCAAUUCCUGGGCUCACCCCAGGCCUGAAUCAGACUCUGGGGCAGGGCCUGGGUUCCUGCACUUGGUACAUAUUCCCAGGAGACCCGGGUGGGCGGCAGGCACAGGGUUUGCCUUCUGUGCUGUCACCUCGGUGGGCCCCUGCUUCUUGGUGUCCUCGCAGGCCCGGCGUCCUCUUCUUCCAGGGCCUGACCCCUGCUCACCUGUCCCCGGCCAGCCGGCUCCUCCCUCACUGGACACCCUCUGGGACCUCCAAGGCAUCUUCCCCUCUCAUGCUCCAUUCAAUGCCAGGCUCUGGGAGCCUGGAGCCCACCCCCUGCUCUUGCCUCCAUCACACACCAUCCGGGCUGCUCCCUCCCCCACUCGAGUCACCCCUGAAUGGGCUCCCUGUUCCCACCUCCAGACCCUCCAGCCCAGGCAGAUGGAGCAGCACCUGAAAACUCAAGUCUGAUUACCCGGCCCUGCCCCCGGCCUGGACCUCUGCGGGGCCUUCCCCUCAAGGACAAACUGUGGCAGGUUCUAGCUGCACAACAAAAAUGGAAAACAGAAGGCAACAAAGCUUGGAGCAGUUUACCCAGCGAAGCAAGUUGUUCAAGGACAGGAGAUGCACGCAGUCUAGGGGGACAAGCACCCUAGGGGCACCUUCUGUUUACCCAAAACUUCAUUCCCUUCACCUAACAUCUCAGAAGGGGUCAUCUGUCUUUUAAAUUUAUUUAUAUGGCAGCCCCCUUUAUCUUUGGGGGACAUAUUCCAAAACCCCAGUGGGUGCCCCAAAUCAUGGAUAGUACAGAACCCCAUUCACACUGUAUUUUUUCCUAUACAUACAUCCUUAUGAUGAAGUUUAAUUUACAAAUUAGGCACAGGAAGAGAUAAACAAUAAUCACAAAACAGUAAUUGUUAACAGCGUACUGUAAUAAAAGCUCCGUGCAUGUGGUUUCUCUCUCCCAAAGAAUCUCAUUGUGCUGCACUCACCCUUCUCGUAAUGACAGGAUGACAAACAACCGCGUGAUGAGACCAAGCAGGUGCGGGUGGCGGCACCAGAUGCAGCACGAGGCGGCCACUCACCUGGCACGGUAAGGAGGGGCCUCUGCUCUCCCACCGUGGCUGACCGCAGGUAACAGACAGGAAAGCAAGACCUCAGAUGAGGCGGGACUGCAAUGACAAGCAGGCAUUUUUAGUUCCCUGAGGAGUUGAAUCCAUCAGUCUUUCUUUAUGGUCCUGUCCUUCCUCUUCAAGAUGAUAAAGAAAAUCUCCAAGGU
Long non-coding RNA from Manis pentadactyla (Chinese pangolin), 2422 nucleotides. RefSeq lists it as uncharacterized. Lineage: Eukaryota; Metazoa; Chordata; Mammalia; Pholidota; Manidae. The record is from RefSeq and is a predicted model, not a curated record. The transcript is spliced from 2 exons.